CAGAAAAUAGCUUAUACAAAGUUUAUUUUUUACGUUAAUAAGAAAAUUUAAUUGUUUUUUCUGA
This 64-nucleotide transfer RNA is filed under the name Cicadellidae gen. sp. 1 JCX-2018. RNAcentral describes it as "tRNA-Val". Lineage: Eukaryota; Metazoa; Arthropoda; Insecta; Hemiptera; Cicadellidae. The record is from RNAcentral.